Molecule: ribosomal RNA, 496 nt
Filed under: uncultured bacterium
Lineage: Bacteria
Description: partial 16S ribosomal RNA
Rfam family: Bacterial small subunit ribosomal RNA
Source: RNAcentral
AUGAACGCUGGCGGCGUGCCUAAUACAUGCAAGUCGAGCGAACAGACGAGGAGCUUGCUCCUCUGACGUUAGCGGCGGACGGGUGAGUAACACGUGGAUAACCUACCUAUAAGACUGGGAUAACUUCGGGAAACCGGAGCUAAUACCGGAUAACAUGUUGAACCGCAUGGUUCAACAGUGAAAGACGGUCUUGCUGUCACUUAUAGAUGGAUCCGCGCCGCAUUAGCUAGUUGGUAAGGUAACGGCUUACCAAGGCAACGAUGCGUAGCCGACCUGAGAGGGUGAUCGGCCACACUGGAACUGAGACACGGUCCAGACUCCUACGGGAGGCAGCAGUAGGGAAUCUUCCGCAAUGGGCGAAUGCCUGACGGAGCAACGCCGCGUGAGUGAAGAAGGUCUUCGGAUCGUAAAACUCUGUUAUUAGGGAAGAACAAAUGUGUAAGUAACUAUGCACGUCUUGACGGUACCUAAUCAGAAAGCCACGGCUAACUACGUG